Molecule: ribosomal RNA, 501 nt
Filed under: uncultured bacterium
Lineage: Bacteria
Description: partial 16S ribosomal RNA
Rfam family: Bacterial small subunit ribosomal RNA
Source: RNAcentral
AUUGAACGCUGGCGGCAGGCUUAACACAUGCAAGUCGAGCGGGGGGAGGUAGCUUGCUACCGGACCUAGCGGCGGACGGGUGAGUAAUGCUUAGGAAUCUGCCUAUUAGUGGGGGACAACAUCUCGAAAGGGAUGCUAAUACCGCAUACGUCCUACGGGAGAAAGCAGGGGAUCUUCGGCCCUUGCGCUAAUAGAUGAGCCUAAGUCGGAUUAGCUAGUUGGUGGGGUAAAGGCCUACCAAGGCGACGAUCUGUAGCGGGUCUGAGAGGAGGAUCCGCAACACUGGGACUGAGACACGGCCCAGACUCCUGCGGGAGGCAGCAGUGGGGAAUAUUGGACAAUGGGUGAAACCCUGAUCCAGCCAUGCCGCGUGUGUGAAGAAGGCCUUAUGGUUGUAAAGCACUUUAAGCGAGGAGGAGGCUACUUUAGUUAAUACCUAGAGAUAGUGGACGUUACUCGCAGAAUAAGCACCGGCUAACUCUGUGCCAGCCGCCGCGGUAA